This is a non-coding RNA of Ictidomys tridecemlineatus (thirteen-lined ground squirrel), 1844 nucleotides long. Lineage: Eukaryota; Metazoa; Chordata; Mammalia; Rodentia; Sciuridae. The record is from RefSeq and is a predicted model, not a curated record.
GUCCAGGGAAGGCCAUGGGCCGCGGGCCCAUCCUGGGAGCCCCGCUUCUGCCAUGAGGCCUCAGGCUGUUCGCUCGGGGCAGCGCACAGCUGCCGUUUCCCCAGGUGGGACCCCGCGUCGCCUCGCGGAGCCCUCACAUUGGCCGCACCCGGGGCGGAGAAGUAUUGUUCAAACUCAGAUUUCUGUUGAAGCCAGCCUCAAGAACCACCUGUCACCCAUGUAUGGUUUCCGUGUAACCGAGACUUGGUGAACUUCAAGGAUGUGGUUGUGGAGUUCUCCCAGAAGGAGUGGCCAUUGCUGGACCUAUCUCAAAGAACUCUGUACAGGAACAUGAUGCUAAACUGCAGGAACCUGGCCUUACUUGGUAUUCUCCAAAGGCACAAGAGCAUUCAUACAAGGAAGAGUCAUUAUGAAUGUAAUCAGUGUGGAAAGACCUUCGGCACAAGUUCACCUUACUAUGCACAAUAGAAUUCAUGUAAGAGAGAAACCUUAAGAGUGCCAUGAGUGUGGGAAAGCCUUCAGAAAAUGCUCACAUCUGACACAGCACGUGAGAACUCAUAUGGGAGAAAAACUCUAUGAAUGUAACAAGUGUGGGAAAUCUUUUAACAGUACCUUUUCUCUAACUGUGCACAAGAAAAUACAUAUUGGAGAAAAAUCCUAACCCAAUGCAGUGAUUGUGGGAAUGCCUUUAAUAAUCUCUCAUCUGCUAAGAAGCACUUGAGAGCUCACACCAGAGAAAAAUCCUACAAAUACAAUCAUUGUGGAAAAUCUUUGGCCAGUAUUAAUUCUCUGUGCAUAAGGGAAUGUGUAAUAGGUAGAAGUGAAUGCAUUAACAACAGAACAGCACUCAUUGGACUCUCAUCCUUUGGAUAAAAUGAGAGAACUCAUAUUCUGCAUAAUGAAUUAUUACCCCACACUUUACAGCUUCAAAUAAGAAAUAUUUGUUUUCUCACAAUUUCUGCAAGUCAGGAACUAGGGAUGGCUUAGCUCUGAAUCCUAGAUCAAGGUCUCUUAUAAGGUUUUAUCCCAGAUGUCCAGCAGGAAUUCAGUCAGAAGAGGUCUUUACUGAUGAAGUGUUCAUUUCCAGAACCCCUCACUUGCAUGCCUAGAGAGUCAGUGCCACUUGUUUACAGGUACUGUGGUUUUGAGUGCAAUUUGAAUUUCCCCAAAAAGUCUGUGUUAAAGGUAUAGUACCAGAGUGGUGGUAUUGGGAAAUGUUGUGGAGCCUUUAAGAGGUGAAGCCUUAUGAGAGGUAGUUAGGUCUUUGGGGUGUGUCCUCAAAAGAGGUUGUGGGAUCCCUACCUAUCCUCUCUCUCCCCCUGCUUUUGGGCUUGAUAUGUGACCACUCACUCUGACACAUACUCCAGCCAUGAUAUGCUGCCCUCGCCAAAGGCCCAAAUCCAUGUGUCCACCCAGUCUUGGACUUGAAGCUCCAGAUCCAUGAGCCAAAAUAAGUCUCUUUCCAUACUAUAAAUAGCCUGUGCCAGUAAUUUCAUUAUAGUAAAAGAAAGCUGACUAAUCUAGCAGGAGACCUUCCAGGAGGACAGUCCCAGAAUUGAGAGCCUCAAAUGCUCUCUGAAUGUUUCAGACAUGAGAAUUCAUAUGAGAGAGAAAGACCUAUUGAAUGGUCAGCAUUGGAAAGUCUUUCACUUUCCCAUGUUUCUUAGAAAUUUGGGAGUUCAUACUGAAAAGGAACCAGGAAAUAGAAAGGAUGAUAAGUUUUCAGUGACGUCUCUUAACAUUAGGAAAAAAAGUGAAGCAUGGUGGUGCACAUCUGUAAUCUCAGUGACUUGGGAGGCUGAGGAGGAGUAUUGCAAGUUCAGCAAAAGCAAGGUGCUAAGCAA